CAUGUAUUAAACGGACAACUUAA
RNAcentral lists this non-coding RNA (23 nucleotides) under Arabidopsis thaliana (thale cress). The record is from RNAcentral. Lineage: Eukaryota; Viridiplantae; Streptophyta; Magnoliopsida; Brassicales; Brassicaceae.